CGGCGACCUCUGCGCAGUAAUACAGCUCGCACCGGAACCCCGACGCGGCCACGCCGUAAAACACCCAACUUCUGAACGUUGACCUCGAAU
This 90-nucleotide ribosomal RNA is filed under the name Beauveria bassiana. RNAcentral describes it as "partial 28S ribosomal RNA". The record is from RNAcentral. Lineage: Eukaryota; Fungi; Ascomycota; Sordariomycetes; Hypocreales; Cordycipitaceae.